CCAUUUAGAUUUCAUUGUGAUUGUGAAAAAAAUGUAAUACAAUGUAAGACUAAAUGGACUGUAGUUACGAGUACAUAUACAAUUACACUAUGCUUUAUUUUGAUAAGUUUAUUUUACCUUAUUUUACCUUUAUUUUACCAAGGGGACUUAAUUAUAAUAGAAACUCAAAAGGAAAAUGUAACAAGGACAAUGAUGGGUCAAAACAAAGGCAGGCAGGUGAAACAAGAGCUAACAAGAGCCAAACUAAACGCAAAGAAAGACUGUGGAAACAAAGCCAAGAAAUGCAAGUCGAAAAAGGCAUCCCCUUGGAUUUUGCAUUUUUGCAGCUCCCAUCAUCAAGUGCCUUUGGGACUUUGUAUUUGAGAGAGUGUUAAGUUACCUGUGCAAGUUUCAGCUGCAUAGCUGCAGUACAGCCAGUUUUAACAGGGGGAUGCCUUUUCCGGCAGGUGCUUGCCGAAAAAGGCAUCCCCUUGGAUUUUGGAUUUCUGCAGCUCCCAUCAUCAAGUGCCUUUAGGACUUUGUAUUUGAGAGAGUGUUAAGUUACCUGUGCAAGUUUCAGCUGCAUAGCUGCAGUACAGCCAGUUUUAACAGGGGGAUGCCUUUUCCGGCAGGUGCUUGCCGAAAAAGGCAUCCCCUUGGAUUUUGGAUUUCUGCAGCUCCCAUCAUCAAGUGCCUUUAGGACUUUGUAUUUGAGAGAGUGUUAAGUUACCUGUGCAAGUUUCAGCUGCAUAGCUGCAGUACAGCCAGUUUUAACAGGGGGAUG
Molecule: long non-coding RNA, 763 nt
Organism: Brienomyrus brachyistius
Lineage: Eukaryota; Metazoa; Chordata; Actinopteri; Osteoglossiformes; Mormyridae
Exons: 3
Source: RefSeq, a predicted model, not a curated record